CGUCUGUAAACACCCAGAGACUGUCAUGGAGGGGGAGGAGGAGGCGGCGGCGGCGAAGGGAGGCGUUUGGGGCCGCCUCCAGGGUCCGCUCUGCCAUUCCUGAACUGGUCCCUCGUCCCCGUGACUCUGGCAUCAGGGAAGCGAACUGUUAGGCGAGAGGAGGAGGCAGCCAGAACCAUAUCCCCUUCUUCCUCGGGGCGGGGGCCGGGCCAGGCCGGCUGAGCCGGGGGAGGGCUCCGGGAGGGAGUGCCUGGCCAGGCCGGCCUGUCUGCCGCGAUGGAUGACAGUAAGGUAAGUGGUUGGAGGCAAAGUAAAGAAGCCCGGUAAACGUGGUCGGAAGCCAGCCAAAAUUGACUUGAAAGCAAAACUUGAGAGGAGCCGGCAGAGUGCAAGAGAAUGCCGAGCCCGAAAAAAGCUGAGAUAUCAGUAUUUGGAAGAGUUGGUAUCCAGUCGAGAAAGAGCUAUAUGUGCCCUCAGAGAGGAACUGGAAAUGUACAAGCAGUGGUGCAUGGCAAUGGACCAAGGAAAAAUCCCUUCUGAAAUAAAGGCCCUACUCACUGGAGAAGAGCAGAACAAAUCUCAGCAGAACUCAAGCAGGCAUACCAAGGCUGGGAAGACAGAUGCUAAUAGCAAUUCCUGGUGAAGAUUAUAUAAAGAUGAGUCAGUGAUUGAAGCCAAUAUUCUGAUUCCCAUGGAAGAUGGAUGGGCAAGAGUGUACUUCUUGGCUCCAUUUACUACCUACUGCUCAGUAGUCAUCUCUGUAAAUCUGCAAUUUCUACCAAAAUGUGUGAUCGUAGAUCUCAAAGGAUCUUGCUUUAACUUUCAACACUUAGAAAAUCUACAAACAUUCAGACCUGUCUGGGUUGGUAUUGCCACCCAUGACAUUUAACAUGUUGUGAUGCUUGAAAACACAGGAGUAGAGAAAAUCGAUGAAGAUUGUAUUUUUGCACCUUAACUCCACAUUGCUUUAUUGGUUAAUUUAUAUUCUUUCCAUGUAAUUCAUGUAAUUGUAUGUCUGUGUGUGUUUUAUGUGUCACCACCUUUCAUGUUUUUGAUUGCCCUACAAAGAGAAACCAAAUGAGCUGAUUACUGACUAUAAGUUCUCAGCCUUUAUGGACCUAAUCU
RNAcentral lists this long non-coding RNA (1125 nucleotides) under Homo sapiens (human). RNAcentral's name for it is "HSALNT0185770". Lineage: Eukaryota; Metazoa; Chordata; Mammalia; Primates; Hominidae. The record is from RNAcentral.